GAUCCUACUGUCUCCCCCCUCUAAUCAGUGAAACUGAUCUCCCCGUGAAGAAGCGGGGAUAAAUUUAUAAGACGAGAAGACCCCAUGGAGCUUUAAGCUUAACGGCACCUAUUAAUUUUACACCCUUAUAUUCUCCUAGUGAUGCUUGUUCAGCUUUGGGUUGGGGUGACCAUGGAGCAAAAAAUAGCCUCCACGAAGAAAGGAACAAAACCCUUAUCAAAGAGUUACAACCUCUAUGAAUUAGAACACUAACUUUUAAUGAUCCGAUAAUCGAUCAACGAACCAAGUUACCC
This 293-nucleotide ribosomal RNA is filed under the name Boophis pyrrhus. Its description in RNAcentral is "partial 16S ribosomal RNA". It matches the Rfam family "Bacterial large subunit ribosomal RNA", at positions 2009 to 2468 of the family's 2925-position model. Lineage: Eukaryota; Metazoa; Chordata; Amphibia; Anura; Mantellidae. The record is from RNAcentral.